AACGCUAGCUACAGGCUUAACACAUGCAAGUCGAGGGGCAGCAUGAUUGAAGCUUGCUUCAAUUGAUGGCGACCGGCGCACGGGUGAGUAACACGUAUCCAACCUGCCGAUGACUCGGGGAUAGCCUUUCGAAAGAAAGAUUAAUACCCGAUGGCAUAGUUCUUCCGCAUGGUGGAACUAUUAAAGAAUUUCGGUCAUCGAUGGGGAUGCGUUCCAUUAGGUUGUUGGCGGGGUAACGGCCCACCAAGCCUUCGAUGGAUAGGGGUUCUGAGAGGAAGGUCCCCCACAUUGGAACUGAGACACGGUCCAAACUCCUACGGGAGGCAGCAGUGAGGAAUAUUGGUCAAUGGACGAGAGUCUGAACCAGCCAAGUAGCGUGAAGGAUGACUGCCCUAUGGGUUGUAAACUUCUUUUAUACGGGAAUAAAGUGAGGCACGUGUGCCUUUUUGUAUGUACCGUAUGAAUAAGGAUCGGCUAACUCCGUGCCAGCAGCCGCGGUAAUACGGAGGAUCCGAGCGUUAUCCGGAUUUAUUGGGUUUAAAGGGAGCGUAGGCGGACGCUUAAGUCAGUUGUGAAAGUUUGCGGCUCAACCGUAAAAUUGCAGUUGAUACUGGGUGUCUUGAGUACAGUAGAGGCAGGCGGAAUUCGUGGUGUAGCGGUGAAAUGCUUAGAUAUCACGAAGAACUCCGAUUG
RNAcentral lists this ribosomal RNA (693 nucleotides) under uncultured bacterium. RNAcentral's name for it is "bacterial SSU rRNA". It matches the Rfam family "Bacterial small subunit ribosomal RNA", at positions 32 to 715 of the family's 1533-position model. RNAcentral also lists the same sequence under 1 other name. The record is from RNAcentral.